AGCAGUAGCCGCGGGAAUACGUAGGUCCCGAGCGUUGUCCGGAUUUAUUGGGCGUAAAGCGAGCGCAGGCGGUUAGAUAAGUCUGAAGUUAAAGGCUGUGGCUUAACCAUAGUACGCUUUGGAAACUGUUUAACUUGAGUGCAAGAGGGGAGAGUGGAAUUCCAUGUGUAGCGGUGAAAUGCGUAGAUAUAUGGAGGAACACCGGUGGCGAAAGCGACUCUCUGGCUUGUAACUGACGCUGAGGCUCGAAAGCGUGGGGAGCAAACAGGAUUAGAUACCCCAGUAGUCCCUGUCUCUUAUACA
RNAcentral lists this ribosomal RNA (303 nucleotides) under uncultured bacterium. RNAcentral's name for it is "partial 16S ribosomal RNA". It matches the Rfam family "Bacterial small subunit ribosomal RNA", at positions 507 to 808 of the family's 1533-position model. The record is from RNAcentral.